Molecule: long non-coding RNA, 490 nt
Filed under: Felis catus (domestic cat)
Lineage: Eukaryota; Metazoa; Chordata; Mammalia; Carnivora; Felidae
Description: lncRNA (ENSFCAG00000042487.2)
Source: RNAcentral
GGAAGGUUAAAAAAGGCAGUGUGUCUUGUUUGUAUUAACAUGAAGUCCUCCCCCCACACCAUGAGACCAAAUAGCCACAAAGAAGAUUUUGAAAUUAGGAGAAGUGUCGAGAGGGAGGAAUUGUUCUGUGCUGAUGUUGAAACUGUGGGCAACAUCUAGCAAACUCUGGCAAAUCACCAACUGUGUCACCAGAUUGUUACCGGACAGGAAAACGUGGGAGCUUCCAAAUCACCUUCUCCUCUUGUCCUCUGACCCAGGGAAGCCAACACUCUUCACAGAAAGGUACUCUUUCUUCUGUGAACAGGACAUCAAUUUCUGUUAACAUGACACAACCGAAUAGCACAAAUGGGUAAGCACAUUAAAUACGAAUUAUUGUGAAAUUAACUUUAUGUUUGAAAACUUGGAAAACAAUCAACUUAUAAGCAAUCCAAGAGCAACCCCCCCCUCCUCUCUUUCAUCAAGUAAAUUGAAGGCCCAUGAAAUAGAGAAG